GUGGAAGCGUCUGGAAAGGCGCGCGAUACAGGGUGACAGCCCCGUACACAAAAAUGCACAUGCUGUGAGCUCGAUGAGUAGGGCGGGACACGUGGUAUCCUGUCUGAAUAUGGGGGGACCAUCCUCCAAGGCUAAAUACUCCUGACUGACCGAUAGUGAACCAGUACCGUGAGGGAAAGGCGAAAAGAACCCCGGCGAGGGGAGUGAAAAAGAACCUGAAACCGUGUACGUACAAGCAGUGGGAGCCUCUUAAUGGGGUGACUGCGUACCUUUUGUAUAAUGGGUCAGCGACUUAUAUUCUGUAGCAAGGUUAACCGAAUAGGGGAGCCGAAGGGAAACCGAGUCUUAACUGGGCGUUAAGUUGCAGGGUAUAGACCCGAAACCCGGUGAUCUAGCCAUGGGCAGGUUGAAGGUUGGGUAACACUAACUGGAGGACCGAACCGACUAAUGUUGAAAAAUUAGCGGAUGACUUGUGGCUGGGGGGGAAAGGCCAAUCAAACCGGGAGAUAGCUGGUUCUCCCCGAAAGCUAUUUAGGUAGCGCCUCGUGAAUUCAUCUCCGGGGGUAGAGCACUGUUUCGGCAAGGGGGUCAUCCCGACUUACCAACCCGAUGCAAACUGCGAAUACCGGAGAAUGUUAUCACGGGAGACACACGGCGGGUGCUAACGUCCGUCGUGAAGAGGGAAACAACCCAGACCGCCAGCUAAGGUCCCAAAGUCAUGGUUAAGUGGGAAACGAUGUGGGAAGGCCCAGACAGCCAGGAUGUUGGCUUAGAAGCAGCCAUCAUUUAAAGAAAGCGUAAUAGCUCACUGGUCGAGUCGGCCUGCGCGGAAGAUGUAACGGGGCUAAACCAUGCACCGAAGCUGCGGCAGCGACGCUUAUGCGUUGUUGGGUAGGGGAGCGUUCUGUAAGCCUGCGAAGGUGUACUGUGAGGUAUGCUGGAGGUAUCAGAAGUGCGAAUGCUGACAUAAGUAACGAUAAAGCGGGUGAAAAGCCCGCUCGCCGGAAGACCAAGGGUUCCUGUCCAACGUUAAUCGGGGCAGGGUGAGUCGACCCCUAAGGCGAGGCCGAAAGGCGUAGUCGAUGGGAAACAGGUUAAUAUUCCUGUACUUGGUGUUACUGCGAAGGGGGGACGGAGAAGGCUAUGUUGGCCGGGCGACGGUUGUCCCGGUUUAAGCGUGUAGGCUGGUUUUCCAGGCAAAUCCGGAAAAUCAAGGCUGAGGCGUGAUGACGAGGCACUACGGUGCUGAAGCAACAAAUGCCCUGCUUCCAGGAAAAGCCUCUAAGCAUCAGGUAACAUCAAAUCGUACCCCAAACCGACACAGGUGGUCAGGUAGAAAAUACCAAGGCGCUUGAGAGAACUCGGGUGAAGGAACUAGGCAAAAUGGUGCCGUAACUUCGGGAGAAGGCACGCUGAUAUGUAGGUGAAGUCCCUCGCGGAUGGAGCUGAAAUCAGUCGAAGAUACCAGCUGGCUGCAACUGUUUAUUAAAAACACAGCACUGUGCAAACACGAAAGUGGACGUAUACGGUGUGACGCCUGCCCGGUGCCGGAAGGUUAAUUGAUGGGGUUAGCGGUAACGCGAAGCUCUUGAUCGAAGCCCCGGUAAACGGCGGCCGUAACUAUAACGGUCCUAAGGUAGCGAAAUUCCUUGUCGGGUAAGUUCCGACCUGCACGAAUGGCGUAAUGAUGGCCAGGCUGUCUCCACCCGAGACUCAGUGAAAUUGAACUCGCUGUGAAGAUGCAGUGUACCCGCGGCAAGACGGAAAGACCCCGUGAACCUUUACUAUAGCUUGACACUGAACAUUGAGCCUUGAUGUGUAGGAUAGGUGGGAGGCUUUGAAGUGUGGACGCCAGUCUGCAUGGAGCCGACCUUGAAAUACCACCCUUUAAUGUUUGAUGUUCUAACGUUGGCCCCUGAUCGGGGUUGCGGACAGUGUCUGGUGGGUAGUUUGACUGGGGCGGUCUCCUCCUAAAGAGUAACGGAGGAGCACGAAGGUUGGCUAAUCCUGGUCGGACAUCAGGAGGUUAGUGCAAUGGCAUAAGCCAGCUUGACUGCGAGCGUGACGGCGCGAGCAGGUGCGAAAGCAGGUCAUAGUGAUCCGGUGGUUCUGAAUGGAAGGGCCAUCGCUCAACGGAUAAAAGGUACUCCGGGGAUAACAGGCUGAUACCGCCCAAGAGUUCAUAUCGACGGCGGUGUUUGGCACCUCGAUGUCGGCUCAUCACAUCCUGGGGCUGAAGUAGGUCCCAAGGGUAUGGCUGUUCGCCAUUUAAAGUGGUACGCGAGCUGGGUUUAGAACGUCGUGAGACAGUUCGGUCCCUAUCUGCCGUGGGCGCUGGAGAACUGAGGGGGGCUGCUCCUAGUACGAGAGGACCGGAGUGGACGCAUCACUGGUGUUCGGGUUGUCAUGCCAAUGGCACUGCCCGGUAGCUAAAUGCGGAAGAGAUAAGUGCUGAAAGCAUCUAAGCACGAAACUUGCCCCGAGAUGAGUUCUCCCUGACUCCCUGAGAGUCCUGAAGGAACGUUGAAGACGACGACGUUGAUAGGCCGGGUGUGUAAGCGCAGCGAUGCGUUGAGCUAACCGGUACUAAUGAACCGUGAGGCUUAACCUU
Molecule: ribosomal RNA, 2611 nt
Filed under: Escherichia coli KTE80
Lineage: Bacteria; Pseudomonadati; Pseudomonadota; Gammaproteobacteria; Enterobacterales; Enterobacteriaceae
Description: bacterial LSU rRNA
Rfam family: Bacterial large subunit ribosomal RNA
Source: RNAcentral